Rosa chinensis is the source of this 1780-nucleotide long non-coding RNA. RefSeq lists it as uncharacterized. The transcript has 2 exons. NCBI's taxonomy places the organism in Eukaryota, Viridiplantae, Streptophyta, Magnoliopsida, Rosales, Rosaceae. The record is from RefSeq and is a predicted model, not a curated record.
UUAUGUGCCCCUAUUUCUCUCUUUUUUUUUUUUCUCUACAGAACUUGAUGCUUUGGCCAAUAACCACGAAACUAUUUCCAGGAAAUAUAAUGUAUUGCAAUCAUCUACUUGUUCUUGUGCACCAUUGAGUUUAUACUUCAGAUACACCAUGAGGAAUGUGGUAUAUUGUAGCUUUGAAUUGGUGUAAAUUGCUCAAGGUUGUUGUUUACAUUUAGGUGGAAGUAAUCUCUAUCCUUGUUAAGUGCAGAGGCUGUGAAGGAGCUAUAUGAUAAAAUGCUGAAAUCUGGAAUGCUAAAUGAUGUAAAGGGGAAUGACUUACCUUUGCAACUUGGUACAGCAGAUAUCGUUUUCAGUUCCAACUUCAAUGGGGACACAAGAGGCAUCUGUAAGUGUUGAAAUUUAUCAUGAAGAUCCAAAGUGAAGCUGGUCUCUUAAGAAACAAGAUGUAUUUCAAGUGGAAUGUGCUGUGAAUGUUUGAGGUAAUCCACCCCUAUGUACUUUAGGUUCUUUUUUUUUUGUUGGUUUUGCUAUAAGCUUCAUUUGUGAUUACUUCCACAACAUUUGUAUACUACUCAACUUUUUAUAUAAGUGAAGGUUCUUUGCAACAAGCAAAGAAUUAGUCAGAUUUGUUAUUCUUUUUUUUAUUUUUAUAAAUUUUUGGGUGAUAUUGGAACAAUAGAGAAUUGAUUUUUUUUUAUUUAAAAAAAUUGAAUUUACAGCGCGCAAAGUAUGCCUUAAACUAAAUUUCACGGCUUGCAAAACAUGCCUCAAAACAAAUUUUACGGCGUACUUUUGGGUCAUUUACGGCGUGCAAAGCAAAUUUUACUGCGUGCUUUUGAGUUAUUUACGGCGUGAAAAGCAAAUUUUACAGCGUGCUUUUAGGUAUGCACGCUGUAAAAAAGUUAUAUAUAUAUAUAUAUAUAUAUUUUACGACAGUCUAUAAGGGCGCAUUUUUAUACGGAUUUGCACGUCGUAAAUUGUCAUUUACAGCGUUUUUCGCACGUCGUAAAUGACUUGUUUUCAUGUAGUGAAAGUAAGCCUAAAUUAAUGUGUAAUAAAUGAGAGAUAAAUGUUUCUGGUUUGUUGGGAUAUAUAGAUGGAAGGGUGUAUACAAACUUGUUGGGUAUAAAUGUAUCAUUGGAUGUUUAAAAUUACUUGAUUUAAACCAAUAGUUAAUCUAGUGCGCUUAUUAUUAAGAUAUAUUUGCUCGAGGCCCGUUCCAAAGCAGACGUCGGCACUUCGCUAAAGUGCGAACCGCGACGCAGUGGAGGCGAUCCAGGCGGCGCGCGGCUUGCAGGAGGGAGGCCGGAGGCCGGAGGCAUCUCGGACGGUUCUGUGCAGCAACCCAACCUGCAACUGCAGGUUUUCUGGGCAGCGCUGCAACGACGUUGUCGGCGACUCCCCCGACUGCAGACCUCUCCGCGCGACUCCUGGCAUCCUUCCAGCUGCCCCCACCGCUCCGUCGCGCCCCGAGCAGAGCUACAGAUUCGCCGUCCACACUUUAGCGAAAGUGCGGACGUCCUCUUUGGAACAACUCCGAUAUUUGCUCGGUCUAAAUAUAGUUUAGUGGGUUGUCGAUCCUUUCAAAAUGUCUUUUUCAAAAACGAGUACUACUAAAAUCUUGCCAAAUUAGUACUCCUGAAAAAUACUUUGGAAAAUUAAGUCACCAGCAAAAAUGUUGCACCAAUUGUGGAGAAUGCUAAAUCUGGUUUAUAUUUCCAGGUUCGCAAUAAUAAAAAGGAAAGGGACACCUCUUCAUGCCAUUUGGAAUGGAAACAGA